Molecule: non-coding RNA, 93 nt
Organism: Pelobates cultripes (western spadefoot toad)
Lineage: Eukaryota; Metazoa; Chordata; Amphibia; Anura; Pelobatidae
Source: the annotation of a GenBank genome assembly
AUAAUGUAGUGUGUGUGUAUAUAAUGCAGUGUGUGUAGUAUGUGCAUUAAACACACACACACACACUACAUUAUAUACACACACACUAAAUUA